Molecule: ribosomal RNA, 433 nt
Filed under: uncultured bacterium
Lineage: Bacteria
Description: partial 16S ribosomal RNA
Rfam family: Bacterial small subunit ribosomal RNA
Source: RNAcentral
AACGAACGCUGGCGGCAUGCCUAAUACAUGCAAGUCGAACGAGAUCUUCGGAUCUAGUGGCGCACGGGUGCGUAACGCGUGGGAAUCUGCCCUUGGGUUCGGAAUAACUUCUGGAGACGGAAGCUAAUACCGGAUGAUGACGUAAGUCCAAAGAUUUAUCGCCCAAGGAUGAGCCCGCGUAGGAUUAGCUAGUUGGUGGGGUAAAGGCCCACCAAGGCGGCGAUCCUUAGCUGGUCUGAGAGGAUGAUCAGCCACACUGGGACUGAGACACGGCCCAGACUCCUACGGGAGGCAGCAGUAGGGAAUAUUGGACAAUGGGGGAAACCCUGAUCCAGCAAUGCCGCGUGAGUGAUGAAGGCCUUAGGGUUGUAAAGCUCUUUUACCCGGGAUGAUAAUGACAGUACCGGGAGAAUAAGCUCCGGCUAACUCCGUG